This 359-nucleotide unclassified non-coding RNA is filed under the name fungal sp. Its description in RNAcentral is "partial internal transcribed spacer region". The stretch from base 1 to 46 matches the Rfam family "Eukaryotic small subunit ribosomal RNA", at positions 1786 to 1831 of the family's 1831-position model. Lineage: Eukaryota; Fungi. The record is from RNAcentral.
AAGUCGUAACAAGGUUUCCGUAGGUGAACCUGCGGAAGGAUCAUUAAUACGUAUCCAACGUUAAACCCCCCCUGUGAACUUUUACACUUGCUUCGAAGCGCGCUGGAAUUGCACAGUUCUGGAGUAGCCUAGUUGAGCGAUCGUGCGCAAGUAACCUGGUUUCCCCAAGCAGUCAAUGUCUGAAAGUGUCAUUGAUUGUGUAAGGAUAACGCUUUUCGGUCACUGGAGGUCGACACCGGCCGGUGGACAGGUUGCAGUGGGCUUCACGCCCCCAUAUUAACCCCACUACCUGUAACGGCCUCGUAGGAAACUACUGGGCAACAAACGAACAACUGUUAACAAUGGAUAUCUUGGUUCUC